Molecule: ribosomal RNA, 112 nt
Filed under: Periophthalmus magnuspinnatus
Lineage: Eukaryota; Metazoa; Chordata; Actinopteri; Gobiiformes; Gobiidae
Source: RNAcentral
AGCGGCACCACCCUGAGAACGCUCAAUCUCGUCAGAUCUCGGAACCUAAGCAGGGUCAAACCUGGUUAAUACUCAGAUGGGAGACCAAUGGGAAUAUCAGGUGGAGCAGCAG